Oryza sativa Japonica Group (Japanese rice) is the source of this 207-nucleotide microRNA precursor. It matches the Rfam family "MIR812 microRNA precursor family". Lineage: Eukaryota; Viridiplantae; Streptophyta; Magnoliopsida; Poales; Poaceae. The record is from Rfam.
AAAAACUCAAUUCCUAAGUUUCCGUGUACUACGUUUGACUGUCCAUCUUAUAUGAAAUUUUUUUUAUGAUUACUAUUUUUAUUGUUGUUAGAUAAUAAAACAAGAAUAAUAUUUUAUACAUGAUUUAUCUUUUUAAUUUUUUUAUAAUUUUUUUAAAUAAGACGGAUGGUUAAAUGUUAGACACAUAAGCUUAAGAAUCGAGUUAUU